CGGAUCCAUGGCUGAUCUCCGUACUCUCUGCAAUGAUCUUGAGGGGAAGUCUUCCUCCCUGCAAGAUGAGAGGGAUUCAGUUCUGAAAGCACUUGAAACGCAGAAAGCUGAAGCUGAGGAGCUGAGGCUGACUCUUGAGGAGCUUGAUGCUAAAGAUGCUGAGGUUGGAGUGUUGAGGGAUCAAUUGAAGAAGCUCCAUGGUUCCAUGGCUGAUCUCCGUACUCUCUGCAAUGAUCUUGAGGGGAAGUCUUCCUCCCUGCAAGAUGAGAGGGAUUCAGUUCUGAAAGCACUCGAAACGCAGAAAGCCGAAGCUGAGGAGCUGAGGUUGACUCUUGGGGAGCUUGAUGCUAAAGAUGCUGAGGUUCGAGUGUUGAGGGAUGAAUUGAAGAAGCUCCACGGUUCCAUGGCUGAUCUCCGUACUCGCUGCAAUGAUCUUGAGGGGAAGUCUUCCUCCCUGCAAGAUGAGAGGGAUUCAGUUCUGAAAGCACUCGAAACGCAGAAAGCCGAAGCUGAGGAGCUGAGGCUGACUCUUGGGGAGCUUGAUGCUAAAGAUGCUGAGGUUCGAGUGUUGAGGGAUGAAUUGAAGAAGCUCCAAGGAUCCAUGGCUGAUCUCCGUACUCUCUGCAAUGAUCUUGAGGGGAAGUCUUCCUCCCUGCAAGAUGAGAGAGAUUCAGUUCUGAAAGCACUCGAAACGCAGAAAGCCGAAGCUGAGGAGCUGAGGCUGACUCUUGGGGAGCUUGAUGCUAAAGAUGCUGAGGUUGGAGUGUUGAGGGAUGAAUUGAAGAAGCUCCACGGUUCCAUGGCUGAUCUCCGUACUCUCUGCAAUGAGCUUGAGGGGCAGUCUUCCUCCCUGCAAGAUGAGAGGGAUUCAGUUCUGAAAGCACUCGAAACGCAGAAAGCCGAAGCUGAGGAGCUGAGGCUGACUCUUGGGAAGCUUGAUGCUAAAGAUGC
RNAcentral lists this long non-coding RNA (951 nucleotides) under Panicum hallii. RNAcentral's name for it is "long non-coding RNA (PHAL_LNC000831)". Lineage: Eukaryota; Viridiplantae; Streptophyta; Magnoliopsida; Poales; Poaceae. The record is from RNAcentral.